GAGCAUGGCUCAGGAUGAACGCUAGCUACAGGCUUAACACAUGCAAGUCGAGGGGCAGCAUGAUUGAAGCUUGCUUCAAUUGAUGGCGACCGGCGCACGGGUGAGUAACACGUAUCCAACCUGCCGAUAACUCGAGGAUAGCCUUUCGAAAGAAAGAUUAAUACCCGAUAGCAUAGUAUUUCCGCAUGGUUUCACUAUUAAAGAACUUCGGUUAUCGAUGGGGAUGCGUUCCA
RNAcentral lists this ribosomal RNA (233 nucleotides) under uncultured bacterium. RNAcentral's name for it is "partial 16S ribosomal RNA". It matches the Rfam family "Bacterial small subunit ribosomal RNA", at positions 15 to 240 of the family's 1533-position model. The record is from RNAcentral.